This 468-nucleotide ribosomal RNA is filed under the name uncultured bacterium. Its description in RNAcentral is "partial 16S ribosomal RNA". It matches the Rfam family "Bacterial small subunit ribosomal RNA", at positions 28 to 507 of the family's 1533-position model. The record is from RNAcentral.
GACGAACGCUGGCGGCGUGCUUAACACAUGCAAGUCGAUCGGAAAGGCCCUGCUUUUGUGGGGUGCUCGAGUGGCGAACGGGUGAGUAACACGUGAGUAACCUGCCCUUGACUUUGGGAUAACUUCAGGAAACUGGGGCUAAUACCGGAUAGGAGCUCCUGCUGCAUGGUGGGGGUUGGAAAGUUUCGGCGGUUGGGGAUGGACUCGCGGCUUAUCAGCUUGUUGGUGGGGUAGUGGCUUACCAAGGCUUUGACGGGUAGCCGGCCUGAGAGGGUGACCGGCCACAUUGGGACUGAGAUACGGCCCAGACUCCUACGGGAGGCAGCAGUGGGGAAUAUUGCACAAUGGGCGGAAGCCUGAGGCAGCAACGCCGCGUGCGGGAUGACGGCCUUCGGGUUGUAAACCGCUUUCGCCUGUGACGAAGCGUGAGUGACGGUAAUGGGUAAAGAAGCACCGGCUAACUACGUG